Molecule: signal recognition particle RNA, 100 nt
Filed under: Rothia dentocariosa ATCC 17931
Lineage: Bacteria; Bacillati; Actinomycetota; Actinomycetes; Micrococcales; Micrococcaceae
Description: Bacterial signal recognition particle RNA
Rfam family: Bacterial small signal recognition particle RNA
About the family: The signal recognition particle (SRP) is a universally conserved ribonucleoprotein involved in the co-translational targeting of proteins to membranes. Archaeal SRP consists of a 7S RNA and homologues of the eukaryotic SRP19 and SRP54 proteins.
Source: RNAcentral
UACGUGCCUCUUACGUGGCGUUAUCUUGGAAAACUCCCCCAGGACCGGAAGGUAGCAAGGGUAUUCGAGCUAUGACGGGUGCGUAAGAGGUUUUUUAUAU